CUUGUGGCACCUUGCUCAAGUAGAGUUUGUAACAGCUGGGACAUUUCAGAUCAUUUUUGAGGGCCAAAUAGGGUCAAAUGAUGAGUCUGAUGUAGCUAUAGAUGACGUCUCACUGCAUCGUGGGUUCUGCAAAGCCCCACGGCCCCCAGUGGUUAACGAGACCAUCACGACGGCUGCCCCACGGCCCCCAGUGGUUAACGAGACAGAAAAGACAGGAACCCCACUGCCCUCUGCUUCAAACGAGACCACCACGACGGCAGCCCCACGGCACCCUGCUUCAAACGAGACCACCACGACGGCAGCCCCACGGCACCCUGCUUCAAACGAGACCACCACGACGG
This is a long non-coding RNA of Austrofundulus limnaeus, 341 nucleotides long. RefSeq lists it as uncharacterized. The record is from RefSeq and is a predicted model, not a curated record. NCBI's taxonomy places the organism in Eukaryota, Metazoa, Chordata, Actinopteri, Cyprinodontiformes, Rivulidae. The transcript has 3 exons.